Molecule: ribosomal RNA, 2006 nt
Filed under: Tetraphalerus bruchi
Lineage: Eukaryota; Metazoa; Arthropoda; Insecta; Coleoptera; Ommatidae
Description: SSU rRNA
Rfam family: Eukaryotic small subunit ribosomal RNA
Source: RNAcentral
CAUGCAUGUCUCAGUACAAGCCGCAUUAAGGUGAAACCGCGAAAGGCUCAUUAAAUCAGUUAUGGUUCCUUAGAUCGUACCCACAAUUACUUGGAUAACUGUGGUAAUUCUAGAGCUAAUACAUGCAAACAGAGUCCCGACCGGAGACGGAAGGGAUGCUUUUAUUAGAUCAAAACCAAUCGGCGGCGGUGCGUUCGCGCGUCGUUCGCCGUUAACGCUGGUGACUCUGAAUAACUUUAUGCUGAUCGCACGGUCUCGAACCGGCGACGCAUCUUUCAAAUGUCUGCCUUAUCAACUGUCGAUGGUAGGUUCUGCGCCUACCAUGGUCGUAACGGGUAACGGGGAAUCAGGGUUCGAUUCCGGAGAGGGAGCCUGAGAAACGGCUACCACAUCCAAGGAAGGCAGCAGGCGCGCAAAUUACCCACUCCCGGCACGGGGAGGUAGUGACGAAAAAUAACGAUACGGGACUCAUCCGAGGCCCCGUAAUCGGAAUGAGUACACUUUAAAUCCUUUAACGAGGAUCAAUUGGAGGGCAAGUCUGGUGCCAGCAGCCGCGGUAAUUCCAGCUCCAAUAGCGUAUAUUAAAGUUGUUGCGGUUAAAAAGCUCGUAGUUGAAUCUGUGUCCCGCGCCGUCGGUUCGCCGCUCGCGGCGAUGACUGGCGCGUCUGCGGGACGUCCUGCCGGUGGGCGCGGUCGGCCGCGUGUUUCGCCCGGCUUCCGGUCGCUGUCGUCCUCGCGGGCGGUGGCGCUCCCGGUGCCGGUGUCGUGCGCGCGUCUCCGGCGGCCCAACUAUAAAAAAUCCCGUCGCGGUGCUCUUCAUUGAGUGUCGAGGCGGGCCGGCACGUUUACUUUGAACAAAUUAGAGUGCUCAAAGCAGGCUAAAACUUCGCCUGAAUACUGUGUGCAUGGAAUAAUGGAAUAGGACCUCGGUUCUAUUUUGUUGGUUUUCGGAACCCCGAGGUAAUGAUUAAUAGGGACAGAUGGGGGCAUUCGUAUUGCGACGUUAGAGGUGAAAUUCUUGGAUCGUCGCAAGACGAACAGAAGCGAAAGCAUUUGCCAAAAAUGUUUUCAUUAAUCAAGAACGAAAGUUAGAGGUUCGAAGGCGAUCAGAUACCGCCCUAGUUCUAACCAUAAACGAUGCCAGCUAGCGAUCCGCCGACGUUCCUUCGAUGACUCGGCGGGCAGCUUCCGGGAAACCAAAGCUUUUGGGUUCCGGGGGAAGUAUGGUUGCAAAGCUGAAACUUAAAGGAAUUGACGGAAGGGCACCACCAGGAGUGGAGCCUGCGGCUUAAUUUGACUCAACACGGGAAACCUCACCAGGCCCGGACACCGGAAGGAUUGACAGAUUGAGAGCUCUUUCUUGAUUCGGUGGGUGGUGGUGCAUGGCCGUUCUUAGUUGGUGGAGCGAUUUGUCUGGUUAAUUCCGAUAACGAACGAGACUCUGGCCUGCUAACUAGGCGUACAUUUUCCGGUAUCUCGAAGGCCCGCCGUGCCGCUGUCGUGCCGAGGUAGCGUGCGCGUCGUACUCCUCGUGGGUGCGGUUGCGCCGUUCCCCGUGCCGGCUCGGUUUCGUGCGCGGUUUUUACUACCGGCGUGCAAUACAUUCUUCUUAGAGGGACAGGCGGCUUCUAGCCGCACGAGAUUGAGCAAUAACAGGUCUGUGAUGCCCUUAGAUGUUCUGGGCCGCACGCGCGCUACACUGAAGGAAUCAGCGUGUCCUCCCUGGCCGAAAGGUCCGGGUAACCCGCUGAACCUCCUUCGUGCUAGGGAUCGGGGCUUGCAAUUAUUCCCCGUGAACGAGGAAUUCCCAGUAAGCGCGAGUCAUAAGCUCGCGUUGAUUACGUCCCUGCCCUUUGUACACACCGCCCGUCGCUACUACCGAUUGAAUGAUUUAGUGAGGUCUUCGGACUGGUACGCGGCGGCGUUUUCGACAUUCGCCGAUGUUGCUGGGAAGAUGACCAAACUUGAUCAUUUAGAGGAAGUAAAAGUCGUAACAAGGUUUCCGU